UACGUAGGGGGCAAGCGUUAUCCGGAUUUACUGGGUGUAAAGGGAGCGCAGACGGCUGUGCAAGUCUGGAGUGAAAGGCGGGGGCUCAACCCCCGGACUGCUCUGGAAACUGUAAAGCUGGAGUGCAGGAGAGGUAAGCGGAAUUCCUAGUGUAGCGGUGAAAUGCGUAGAUAUUAGGAGGAACACCAGUGGCGAAGGCGGCUUACUGGACUGCAACUGACGUUGAGGCUCGAAAGCGUGGGGAGCAAACAGG
This 253-nucleotide ribosomal RNA is filed under the name uncultured bacterium. RNAcentral's name for it is "partial 16S ribosomal RNA". It matches the Rfam family "Bacterial small subunit ribosomal RNA", at positions 524 to 776 of the family's 1533-position model. The record is from RNAcentral.